CAUGCAAGUCGAACGCAGUAGCAAUACUGAGUGGCAAACGGGUGAGUAUAAUGUGGGAAUCUGCCUUUUGGUUUGGAAUAACACGGGGAAACUUGUGCUAAUACCGAAUAAGCCCUUACGGGGAAAGUUUUAAUGCCAAAAGAUGAGCCCGCACUUGAUUAGCUAGUUGGUAAGGUAAAAGCUUACCAAGGCUACGAUCAAUAGCUGUUCUUAGAGGAAGACCAGCCACAUUGGGACUGAGACACGGCCCAGACUCCUACGGGAGGCAGCAGUGGGGAAUCUUGCACAAUGGGGGAAACCCUGAUGCAGCGAUGCCGCGUGAGUGAAGAAGGCCUUUGGGUUGUAAAACUCUUUCGUCGGGGAAGAAAAUGACUGUACCCGAAUAAGAAGGUCCGGCUAACUUCGUGCCAGCAGCCGCGGUAAUACGAAGGGACCUAGCGUAGUUCGGAAUUACUGGGCUUAAAGAGCUCGUAGGUGGUUAAAAAAGUUGAUGGUGAAAUCCCAAGGCUCAACCUUGGAACUGCCAUCAAAACUUUUUAGCUAGAGUGUGAUAGAGGUAAGUGGAAUUUCUAGUGUAGAGGUGAAAUUCGUAGAUAUUAGAAAGAACACCAAAUGCGAAGGCAACUUACUGGGUCACUACUGACACUGAGGAGCGAAAGCAUGGGUAGCGAAGAGGAUUAGAUACCCUCGUAGUCCAUGCCGUAAACGAUGUGUGCUAGACGUUGGAAAUAUAUUUUUCAGUGUCGCAGCGAAAGCAUUAAGCACACCGCCUGGGGAGUACGACCGCAAGGUUAAAACUCAAAU
Molecule: ribosomal RNA, 804 nt
Filed under: uncultured Alphaproteobacteria bacterium
Lineage: Bacteria; Pseudomonadati; Pseudomonadota; Alphaproteobacteria
Description: bacterial SSU rRNA
Rfam family: Bacterial small subunit ribosomal RNA
Source: RNAcentral